GUAAUAUAGGAACCCGUUUCUUAACUUUUAACUAAAAAAACUAAGAACCGGUUCUCAAAUAAAAGUUUUAAGAGCCGGUUCUUAACUUUUUUAGUUAAAAGUUAAGAGACGGGUUCUUAUAUUCU
Brassica napus (rape) is the source of this 125-nucleotide non-coding RNA. NCBI's taxonomy places the organism in Eukaryota, Viridiplantae, Streptophyta, Magnoliopsida, Brassicales, Brassicaceae. The record is from Rfam.